UACAGCGGCGCACGGGUGCGUAACACGUGAGUAAUCUGCCCUGGAGCCCGGAAUAACCUCCCGAAAGGGAAGCUAAUGCCGGAUGAGCCCACGGGGUCCUUGGACUCUGAGGGAAAAGGCGGCCUCUGUAUACAAGCUGUCACUUCAGGAUGAGCUCGCGGCCCAUCAGCUAGUUGGCGGGGUAAUGGCCCACCAAGGCUACGACGGGUAGCUGGUCUGAGAGGACGAUCAGCCACACUGGAACUGAGACACGGUCCAGACUCCUACGGGAGGCAGCAGUGGGGAAUCUUGCGCAGUGGGCGAAAGCCUGACGCAGCAACGCCGCGUGUGUGAUGAAGGUCUUCGGAUCGUAAAGCACUGUCGCGAGGGACG
RNAcentral lists this ribosomal RNA (372 nucleotides) under uncultured Anaeromyxobacter sp. Its description in RNAcentral is "bacterial SSU rRNA". It matches the Rfam family "Bacterial small subunit ribosomal RNA", at positions 91 to 447 of the family's 1533-position model. The record is from RNAcentral. Lineage: Bacteria; Pseudomonadati; Myxococcota; Myxococcia; Myxococcales; Anaeromyxobacteraceae.